Molecule: ribosomal RNA, 467 nt
Filed under: uncultured bacterium
Lineage: Bacteria
Description: partial 16S ribosomal RNA
Rfam family: Bacterial small subunit ribosomal RNA
Source: RNAcentral
GACGAACGCUGGCGGCGUGCUUAACACAUGCCAGUCGAACGGAAAGGCCCUGCUUUUGUGGGGUGCUCGAGUGGCGAACGGGUGAGUAACACGUGAGUAACCUGCCCUUGACUUUGGGAUAACUUCAGGAAACUGGGGCUAAUACCGGAUAGGAGCUCCUGCUGCAUGGUGGGGGUUGGAAAGUUUCGGCGGUUGGGGAUGGACUCGCGGCUUAUCAGCUUGUUGGUGGGGUAGUGGCUUACCAAGGCUUUGACGGGUAGCCGGCCUGAGAGGGUGACCGGCCACAUUGGGACUGAGAUACGGCCCAGACUCCUACGGGAGGCAGCAGUGGGGAAUAUUGCACAAUGAGCGGAAGCCUGAUGCAGCAACGCCGCGUGCGGGAUGACGGCCUUCGGGUUGUAAACCGCUUUCGCCUGUGACGAAGCGUGAGUGACGGUAAUGGGUAAAGAAGCACCGGCUAACUACGU